This is a long non-coding RNA of Hevea brasiliensis (rubber tree), 485 nucleotides long. RefSeq lists it as uncharacterized. The record is from RefSeq and is a predicted model, not a curated record. The transcript has 3 exons. Lineage: Eukaryota; Viridiplantae; Streptophyta; Magnoliopsida; Malpighiales; Euphorbiaceae.
CGCUCCACUCGACGAGAGCUUCGCGGGAUAUUAAUUUCAAAAUUUUCCGACAACGUUUUUCGGUAUUCUCAAUUCGCGGAAAUUCGACAGUUGACCGGGUCUGCGAAAUUUCGGCCAGACAGACCCGUUAUCGGAAAAGUCUCCGAAUUGGGCCGAGAUUUUGCCUACCCCCCCAUUGUCAGACGUCCCGAGCGCGUCCCCGAGGUCGGAAUCGGCAAAGGCCACAGGAGGAUAUUUUAUUCUGGGUUAACCUGCUUUUAUCCUUCGCAGGUUGUUUAUCCAUGUUUGUGUAAUUUUAAUUACUCCUAGAAUUUCCGCAUGUGUUAGCAGUAUUUAUUUGAAUUUGGUCUGUAAUAUUUUUAUCAUGUUGGACCUGUAAACUUAAAUAUGUUAUGCAUGUUGAUGGAUUGGAUGAGGGAGCUGAGCUCCCAUUUAUUUUAUGUUGAUGAGUAUGUGGAGGGUGAGCUGAGCUCCCCAAUUGAGUA